CUUCCUCUAUUUCUUCUGCCAGAUCUGUUGUAUUUGGAAGAAUCAUCGAAUUUAUUA
Molecule: small RNA, 57 nt
Filed under: Debaryomyces hansenii
Lineage: Eukaryota; Fungi; Ascomycota; Pichiomycetes; Serinales; Debaryomycetaceae
Description: partial Mitochondrion-encoded tmRNA
Source: RNAcentral